Molecule: ribosomal RNA, 497 nt
Filed under: uncultured bacterium
Lineage: Bacteria
Description: partial 16S ribosomal RNA
Rfam family: Bacterial small subunit ribosomal RNA
Source: RNAcentral
GAUGAACGCUGGCGGCGUGCCUAAUACAUGCAAGUCGAGCGAACAGACGAGGAGCUUGCUCCUCUGAUGUUAGCGGCGGACGGGUGAGUAACACGUGGAUAACCUACCUAUAAGACUGGGAUAACUUCGGGAAACCGGAGCUAAUACCGGAUAAUAUAUUGAACCGCAUGGUUCAAUAGUGAAAGACGGUUUUGCUGUCACUUAUAGAUGGAUCCGCGCCGCAUUAGCUAGUUGGUAAGGUAACGGCUUACCAAGGCAACGAUGCGUAGCCGACCUGAGAGGGUGAUCGGCCACACUGGAACUGAGACACGGUCCAGACUCCUACGGGAGGCAGCAGUAGGGAAUCUUCCGCAAUGGGCGAAAGCCUGACGGAGCAACGCCGCGUGAGUGAUGAAGGUCUUCGGAUCGUAAAACUCUGUUAUUAGGGAAGAACAAAUGUGUAAGUAACUAUGCACAUCUUGACGGUACCUAAUCAGAAAGCCACGGCUAACUACGUG